ACGGAGACAAAUCCUAUCGAAAUUCAAAGCGGUGGCUUCGCAUCGAUGGGGAUUUUCGUGGGAGAAACUGGGGACUUUUUGCUCGAACAAGCUCCUUGAACAGGAAUAAUAAAGGAGCGAGAAACAAAGGGCGUGCGAAAACCUUGAAGAAACGGAUUUGAAAUGAAUCUUCUCUAAAUAUAUCCAUCUCUUUUAAAGUUUAUCUUUACGUCGGUGGCCACAAUCUCUUUUGAAACUUUUUUACCCGUUCGAUAUCGACAGCCAAAGGAAGUCAAAUUCGUUAUACGCUUUUUCAAAAAAAGUGACGGCGAGAUUUGUGACGUUCACGAGCUACGAUCGGUUUAAGAAAGAUUCAGAGCUGGCAAUAUUGACUCGAAAGGAGGCCAAUGUGCAUCGAAAACUGCACUAAGGACAAUGGAUCUCCAAUCGUCGCGAAGCUUGGACUUGACCAAAGUUCUUUCGUCCAUUUGGUAUACGAAAUAACGACUUUGAAAUUCUAAUCCCUUAAAGGAUACUCCCUCUGCCCGAAAAGAAUCAAAUAAAAUUAAAAUUAAAUAUAGAAAA
Apis cerana (Asiatic honeybee) is the source of this 564-nucleotide long non-coding RNA. RefSeq lists it as uncharacterized. The record is from RefSeq and is a predicted model, not a curated record. Lineage: Eukaryota; Metazoa; Arthropoda; Insecta; Hymenoptera; Apidae.